Quercus robur (English oak) is the source of this 406-nucleotide long non-coding RNA. RefSeq lists it as uncharacterized. The record is from RefSeq and is a predicted model, not a curated record. Lineage: Eukaryota; Viridiplantae; Streptophyta; Magnoliopsida; Fagales; Fagaceae. The transcript is spliced from 2 exons.
UCUGUUCAGAAGAAGCCCUUACCUGGAGAAAACAGAGUCCGGUCCCAACGCCUCCUCUCCUCUGAGUCUAACCAAUGGAGCUCCUCCUCGCCAUUGGAGCAGACACCCAUGCACCAAAUACGGCGGAUCAAUAACAAGAAUUCCAAGAAGGCUGAUGUUUAAACAAGUUUUGUGACCAAGAGAAUGCAUUGGGAAGCAAAUAUUUUUUGCUAUACAAUAUUUUAAUUGUGGUGGAUAGAACCAUCUUCUUGUAGUUUGAAUUGAGAGAAGUUUUAUUUUAAGAUGUAUCUUCAGUCAUAUGAUUCUCUUUUUGUAUUCUGAAUCAUGACAUGUUUUAUUUUAGAUGAAUGUAUUGUCAAUUAGAAACAUUUAUAAAAAAAUUGUGACAGGUUUUAUUUCAAAUGUA